This 573-nucleotide ribosomal RNA is filed under the name uncultured bacterium. RNAcentral's name for it is "bacterial SSU rRNA". It matches the Rfam family "Bacterial small subunit ribosomal RNA", at positions 124 to 710 of the family's 1533-position model. The record is from RNAcentral.
AUCUGCCUUUUAGAGGGGAAUAACUAGGAGAAAUCCUAGCUAAUACCGCGUAAGACCACACUUAGGCAUCUAAGAGAGGUCAAAGGAGUAAUCCGCUAAAAGAUGAGCCUGUGGCUGACUAGUUAGUUGGUGGGGUAAGAGCCUACCAAGACGAUGAUCAGUAGCCGAGCUGAGAGGCUGGCCGGCCACAUUGGGACUGAGAUACGGCCCAGACUCCUACGGGAGGCAGCAGUUGGGAAUAUUGGACAAUGGAGGAAACUCUGAUCCAGUGACGCCGCGUGAAGGAAGAAGGUCUUCGGAUUGUAAACUUAUUUUAUCAGGGAAGAAGAAAGUGACAGUACCUGAAGAAAAAGGACCGGCAAACUACGUGCCAGCAGCCGCGGUAAUACGUAGGGUCCAAGCGUUAUCCGGAUCUACUGGGUGUAAAGGGCGAGUAGACGGCGCUGUAAGUCAGCUGUGAAAACUUAGGGCUCAACCUUAAGCCUGCAGCUGAAACUGUAGUGCUAGAGUGCAGGAGAGGUAAGCGGAAUUCCUAGUGUAGCGGUGAAAUGCGUAGAUAUUAGGAGGAACACC